GGCUUCCAAACACAUCCUCACGUCUCAGAUUCAGGUCCAACACAAAGAACUGAUCAUCAACACUACAGAGAAACAGCAUCUUCAGGAGGCUAAUGACACGUUGAAGGCGGAGGUGAAGACACUGAAAGCAACGCUGGAUGAGAAGGACAGACAAAUGCAACGCUUCAAGGCCCAGAUCCAAGACUGCAGCGUUCGGAAAGAUAACAACAAGUGAGUCAUCUAUGUGUGUGUGUGUAUGUAUGUGUGUUAGGGAUCUGAGGAUAUAUCCUAAAUCGGCUAAAAAUUGAUGCAAAUAAGAGG
Molecule: long non-coding RNA, 300 nt
Filed under: Gouania willdenowi (blunt-snouted clingfish)
Lineage: Eukaryota; Metazoa; Chordata; Actinopteri; Blenniiformes; Gobiesocidae
Description: lncRNA (ENSGWIG00000019367.1)
Source: RNAcentral